Molecule: ribosomal RNA, 466 nt
Filed under: uncultured Comamonas sp.
Lineage: Bacteria; Pseudomonadati; Pseudomonadota; Betaproteobacteria; Burkholderiales; Comamonadaceae
Description: bacterial SSU rRNA
Rfam family: Bacterial small subunit ribosomal RNA
Source: RNAcentral
UUGACGGGACCCGCACAAGCGGUGGAUGAUGUGGUUUAAUUCGAUGCAACGCGAAAACCUUACCCACCUUUGACAUGUACGGAAUCCUUUAGAGAUAGAGGAGUGCUCGAAAGAGAGCCGUAACACAGGUGCUGCAUGGCUGUCGUCAGCUCGUGUCGUGAGAUGUUGGGUUAAGUCCCGCAACGAGCGCAACCCUUGUCAUUAGUUGCUACGAAAGGGCACUCUAAUGAGACUGCCGGUGACAAACCGGAGGAAGGUGGGGAUGACGUCAAGUCCUCAUGGCCCUUAUAGGUGGGGCUACACACGUCAUACAAUGGCUGGUACAAAGGGUUGCCAACCCGCGAGGGGGAGCCAAUCCCAUAAAGCCAGUCGUAGUCCGGAUCGCAGUCUGCAACUCGACUGCGUGAAGUCGGAAUCGCUAGUAAUCGUGGAUCAGCAUGUCACGGUGAAUACGUUCCCGGGUCUU